GAUGAACGCUGGCGGCGUGCUUAACACAUGCAAGUCGAACGAGAAGUGAAGACGGAAACCUUCGGGCGGAAGGCUUUAUUUCGAGUGGCGGACGGGUGAGUAACGCGUGGGUAACCUGCCUCAUACAGGGGGAUAACAGUUGGAAACGACUGUUAAUACCGCAUAAGACCACAGCACCGCAUGGUGCGGGGGUAAAAACUCCGGUGGUAUGAGAUGGACCCGCGUUCGAUUAGCCAGUUGGCGGGGUAACGGCCCACCAAAGCGACGAUCGAUAGCCGAUCUGAGAGGAUGACCGGCCACAUUGGGACUGAGACACGGCCCAAACUCCUACGGGAGGCAGCAGUGGGGAAUAUUGCACAAUGGGGGAAACCCUGAUGCAGCGACGCCGCGUGAGUGAAGAAGUAUUUCGGUAUGUAAAGCUCUAUCAGCAGGGAAGAAAAGGACGGUACCUGAGUAAGAAGCCCCGGCUAACUACGU
RNAcentral lists this ribosomal RNA (477 nucleotides) under uncultured bacterium. Its description in RNAcentral is "partial 16S ribosomal RNA". It matches the Rfam family "Bacterial small subunit ribosomal RNA", at positions 28 to 506 of the family's 1533-position model. The record is from RNAcentral.